CCACUUCACGUUGGAACACAGUUUCCCGCCCGAUCACCGAAGUUAAACAACGCCGAGCCUGGUCAUUACCUAGAGGGGUGACCGCUUGGGAAUACCAGGUGCUGUAAG
Molecule: non-coding RNA, 108 nt
Organism: Acanthosepion pharaonis
Lineage: Eukaryota; Metazoa; Mollusca; Cephalopoda; Sepiida; Sepiidae
Source: the annotation of a GenBank genome assembly